UACGGGGGGAGCAAGCGUUGUUCGGAUUUACUGGGCGUAAAGGGCGCGUAGGCGGUCAGCGCAAGUCAGUUGUGAAAUCUCUGGGCUUAACUCAGAACGGUCAACUGAUACUGCGCGACUAGAGUGCAGAAGGGGCAACUGGAAUUCUCGGUGUAGCGGUGAAAUGCGUAGAUAUCAGGAGGAACACCGGUGGCGAAGGCGGGUCGCUGGGCUGACACUGACGCUGAGGCGCGAAAGCUAGGGGAGCGAACGGG
Molecule: ribosomal RNA, 254 nt
Filed under: uncultured bacterium
Lineage: Bacteria
Description: partial 16S ribosomal RNA
Rfam family: Bacterial small subunit ribosomal RNA
Source: RNAcentral